Molecule: long non-coding RNA, 1752 nt
Organism: Corapipo altera (White-ruffed manakin)
Lineage: Eukaryota; Metazoa; Chordata; Aves; Passeriformes; Pipridae
Exons: 4
Source: RefSeq, a predicted model, not a curated record
ACAAAAGAUGGAAUUUUCUUUCUAUGAUGGAGAAAGAGUUGAGUUCAGGUAGGGUUAUGGUUUGAUAAUGGGGAAAUGACUGACGAUGCAACUUUUAACUGAAACAUAACAGGGAGAUAUGGUACAACUGUGACUUCUGAUUAAUGGACUUUUAAUGGGAUUCAUAAGACCUUACAGCGUGCCAGAAGAGGAUGGGCUGUCUGCACAGUUCCCCUGUAUAGUGAGUGACUGGAGAUAUGUGCUGUUUGCCUGCUUACUGCACCAGUUGACAAAACCAGUUCUGGUGACUUGCUUUUCUUCUAGAUACAAUAUGUUAAAAGGACAGGUAUCUGCAAGGGCAAAUGUGUUACUGGUAGGAAAGUGAGUUUGUGACCUUUGGCCACAUAAAAGGAAGAGUUUGCAAUAUGCAUGGUGAAGCCACAAAGGAAAGCAAAUUUCUUAAUUGUAUGGUCAGGACUCAAACACCGUUCUGGCUACAAGGGCUGAACCUUGAUUUCUAUGAAAUCAAAGCAGAUGUAUGAACCUCUACAAAUCCUGCAUUCGCCUGUGGAGUUACAGUGAAAUCGGUAUCAUUCUACCACUUGCAUUACUGAUAAGAGACUCUAAGCACAUAGGCAGUGGUGUUAUAUACUCCUUUUGCAGUAUUGAGAUUUCCCUUAUCUUCUUUCUCACACCACAGCAGUGGGAUGAACCACACUUUGCUUUUUUUUUUUUUUCUUUUAAAUAACUUCCAGAGUGAGCCAGUUGCUGUGGUUAGAUGGAUGAAACAUUUCUGAAGUGUCAUGUAGGUAUUGGUCUGCUGGCAGACUACUUGUGAGUAAUGCAUAGCACCUUUUUCUUCAUUUAAAGAAAAGUAUUUCAAAUAAAACAGGCCUGUUGUGUGUAUUAAAGCAAAACAAAACAAACCUCAAAUGUGACUCUUAUUGGAAGAGUGCUUUCACAAUGCAAUAUAGAUGUGCUGGACUUUUCAAACCUUGGUACCUUGAAGAAUUAUUCUGUAAAAAUGGGAAUUUUGAACACCAGUAUUACUAACAAUGUAAUUCUAGAUAUGCAAACAUGGCUUGUCACUUAUUUCUGGAAACCACUAAAGCAGUACUUUUUGACAGCAUUGUUUUCUAGACAUUGUGACUAAAUGUCUGUUAAAAUUGCAUUUAAAUAUCUCUUUAGAAUGUCUGAUUGCACUGCAAUCAGUCUGACUGACUUUCUAAAAACUGAUGCUUUGUAGAAGCAUUUAGAUAUUUGACUUUUUGGAGAAACACCGAGAAAUAAUCUGUCUGAGCCUAAUGAUGAGGUUAUAUGUUGAUGUUUCUAUUUUCCCCACUCAGUUCCUGGAUUAUGAGCAGUAAAUGUCGUCUCUGAUUCUGUCCUGAUUUACUUGGAGAGACAGGAAGGAUAGAAAUAAGAAGUGUUGCUAUUGACUUUUAUCCGAAACUCUUGAGGAAAAGACUGAUGGGACUUUUGUCUUCUCUGAGAACUGGGAGUCUGGGACUUAGGCUGGUCUGUGCCUGCCCAGAUGAGCCCAGCUGUAUUCCAUUGCCUUUCAGAACUGUGCAGUUAAUGUUGGCAUUUGAACAUCAUUUUGACUGUUGAGCUUUCUGCACAAGGGAGCCAGUUUCUUAGAAAAUAAAUAGCUAUGCAGAAGGGCAAGGAAAAUGGAGUGCUUGAUCCUGCCGAUGGCCUAUGUGAAGAGAUACUGUGAAGGUUACUACUCUGAUCCCUAUAAAUAAUAAAUAAAAUGUUGAAUAAAAGGUU